CCUGGUGGCUCAGACGGUAAAGUGUCUGCCUACAAUGCAGGAGACCCAGGUUCAAUCCCUGGGUCAGGA
Bos taurus (domestic cattle) is the source of this 69-nucleotide non-coding RNA. NCBI's taxonomy places the organism in Eukaryota, Metazoa, Chordata, Mammalia, Artiodactyla, Bovidae. The record is from Rfam.